GAUAAAGUCCCUAGUGAAGAGUCUGGUGAUGAAUCUCCAGAGUUAAUCCCUCCCCCUCAGAAGAAAAAGAAACUCACGAAGGUCUCUUCCCAAAGGUCCAUUGUUAACCCAAUCAGGAAGGAUUCUGCCAGUACUUCUCCUGCCAAGCCUCAGUCGAAAGAUAUGGGGAGUGGGAAAUCCGGUUUUAAUACUGAAAUUCCUGAGGUAAUUUUUUUUUUUUUUUUAUUUCGACAGCAUAUGUUUACCUUUCCUACAUCUUUUCUUCUAAAUCUUAGAAUUUAUUUUUAGGAACAAGUGGCUGUCGAAAAAACGCCUGAGAAAAUUCUGGAGGAAACAGCCCCAGAGGAAGAUGUCCCCACAAGUGACCAUGAUAUGCAAACCGUAGAAGAAUUCGACACUACAGUG
RNAcentral lists this long non-coding RNA (405 nucleotides) under Lathyrus oleraceus (garden pea). Its description in RNAcentral is "Pisum sativum (pea) long non-coding RNA (PSAT_LNC018668)". The record is from RNAcentral. Lineage: Eukaryota; Viridiplantae; Streptophyta; Magnoliopsida; Fabales; Fabaceae.